Molecule: long non-coding RNA, 1153 nt
Filed under: Homo sapiens (human)
Lineage: Eukaryota; Metazoa; Chordata; Mammalia; Primates; Hominidae
Description: HSALNT0387086
Source: RNAcentral
CAGGCGUGAGCCACCGCGCCCGGCCAAUUUCUAAGGCUCCAUUAGGGCUAAGGUUCAUGUAUCCAUGGUGAAGUAUAGAAGAACUCAGAAUCGUUCCAAACAUAAUGGGCUUGGAGUAAUGGAGAACUCCAAGGGCAGGAGGUAACCAUUAAAGAGGACCAUCAUGUAGUGUGAGGAGUCAACAUUUCACACUAGAAAGCCCUUGGUUCAAGUUUUGUCUCUGCCACCUACAGAUUUUGUAACCCUGAGAGAAAAGGAAAAUCCUACGGAGGAGGGGCUCUGAUGGCUUUGAAGAAGGCAGUGAAUGGCCACAUGUUCCCUGAGGACAGCACAGGCUAAAGGCUCAGCUAGAAGAAAGGCACAGAGAUAGCAAGGGAAACUAGCUACCUCUUUAUGUACUGCCCUAUGGAGAGGCACACAUGUCAAGAAACUGAGGGAGUGCCUUCCAGUCAACAGCCAGCCAGGAACUAAGGUGCUCAGUACAGCAGCCUCCACAAAGGACUGAACAAUGCCAACAGCUAUUUGACUGUGCUUGGAAGAUCUCCGUUUAGUUAACCCUUCAGAUGAGACCGCAGCCCUGGCCAGCAAACAAAUUGCAGCCUAUGGAAAGACCUUAAGGCAGAAGCACCCAACUGAACCACCCGAGGGCUCUGACUUACAGAAACUGUGAGCAUAUAGUGAAAUGGCCUCUACCUUAUUUUGAAUGGAUUUCUGGGAUAAAGUUCUUCAGUGAUAACAUGUUUGAAGCGGCUAUCUUAUGUGCCCAUGUUACAUGCUCAUGAUAAAGCUGCAUUUCCUGAGGGGACACCAAUGGAUACACCUCUGCCUGGCACGCAGCUUAGAGGCUAAAUGUAUGAAAAGCAACACCAUGCAAAUCAUUUUGAAACUGCUGUGGAACUCUCACGGGACCCUCCAUUCUAGACAUCCAGUCCCACUAGUGAUCUGACCAUGAAACCUACUAAGAGACUUCCAGAAGAAGAUGACCUCUGAAAGGAGAAAACUUUCUUCCAAGCUUCUGUGGAACAAGAAGAUGCCAUCCCUUUGGUGGAGCCCAAAGGGAAACCAGGACACUGAAGGAAUUAACCAGAAAGAAAAGAAGAGAAGAAGGAGAAGAAAGAAGAAGAAGAAGAAGGAGAAGGAGAAGGAGACGAGG